CGAGUCAGUGGCGGGUGGCGAGCAUAAGCCGUGUGGCGUAUGCGUAGCGAAAGCGAGUCUUAAAAGGCGUUUGUAGUCGCUUGUCCUGGACCCGAAGCGGGAUGAUCUAGCCCUGGGCAGGUUGAAGCGCGGGUAAGACCGCGUGGAGGACCGAACCCACCUGGGUUGAAAACCGGGGGGAUGACCUGGGGCUAGGGGUGAAAGGCCAAUCAAAUUCCGUGAUAGCUGGUUCUCUCCGAAAUGCAUUUAGGUGCAGCGUCGGUCGAUUGCGUCGCGGGGGUAGAGCUACCGGAUGCUUGCGGGCCCUUGUUGGGUACCAACAGCAGCCGAACUCCGAAUACCGUUGACGUGUAUUCCGGCAGUGAGUCGGCGGGGGAUAAGCUCCGUCGUCGAGAGGGAGACAGCCCAGACCGUCGUCUAAGGUCCCGAAGCGUGUGCUAAGUGGGAAAGGAUGUGGAGUCGCAUAGACAGCCAGGAGGUUGGCUCAGAAGCAGCCAUCCUUGAAAGAGUGCGUAACAGCUCACUGGUCUAGUGGUUCCGCGCCGACAAUGUAGCGGGGCUCAAGCACACCACCGAAGACGCGGCAGCAAUCUUCAUGGUUGCUGGGUAGGAGAGCGUCCUGCGAGGGGCGAAGCGGCGGUGGAAACCGGCCGUGGACUUCGUGGGAGUGAGAAUGCAGACAUGAGUAGCGAGAGACGGGUGAGGAUCCCGUCCGCUGGAUGACCAAGGGUUCCGGGGCCACGUUCGUCGUCCCCGGGUGAGUCGGGUCCUAAGGCGAGGCCGACAGGCGUAGUCGAAUGGAUGAACGGGUGGAUAUUCCCGUACCGACCAUGGACCGGCAAAACCGAGACGGUGAGUACUAACCUCCGCCUCGUGGUGGUUCCUUCCUUCGGGUUGGUGUCGCCGCGUGGCGUUGGGACCGUAGCCGCAGUAGGUCAGCGCAGGGGUGACACGGAAUGGGAGCCGGCCGCGGAGGUGGUUUUCCGUGGUCAAGCACGCAGCCAGUCAUGUAGGCAAAUCCGCAUGGCGCGCAUGGCGAGGUGUGAUGAUGGGAGCCUUUUGGGCUCGAUAUCCGGUUGUCCAGGCCGUCGAGAAAAGCCUCGGCGUGAGGGCCAUGGCCGCCCGUACCCCAAACCGACACUGGUGGUCAGGUAGAGAAUACCAAGGCGAUCGAGCGAAUCCUGGUCAAGGAACUCGGCAAAUCACUCCCGUGCCUUCGGUAUAAGGGAGACCCGCUGGGGUGAACCGGCUAGCCCGGGGAGCUUUGGUGGGUGGCACAGACCAGGGGGUAGCGACUGUUUACCAAAAACACAGGUGCAUGCGAAGGCGAAAGCCGCUGUAUAUGCACUGACGCCUGCCCGGUGCCGGAAGGUUAAGAGGAUCCGUCAAUCCCUUCGGGGACGAAGCGGUGAAUUCAAGCCCCGGUAAACGGCGGUGGUAACUAUAACCAUCCUAAGGUAGCGAAAUUCCUUGUCGGGUAAGUUCCGACCUGCACGAAUGGCGUAACGACUUCCCCACUGUCUCGACCAGGAGCUCGGCGAAAUUGCAGUACGAGUAAAGAUGCUCGUUAAGCGCAGAAGGACGAAAAGACCCCGGGACCUUUACUAUACCUUGGUAUUGGCGUUAGGCGCGGAUUGUGUAGCAUAGGCGGGAGGCUUCGAAGCGGGUGCGCCAGCAUUCGUGGAGCCGCAAGGUGAAAUACCGCUCUGUUCUCGUUUGACGUCUAACCUCGACAAGUCAUCCUUGUCAGGGACAGUGCCUGGCGGGUAGUUCAACUGGGGCGGUUGCCUCCCAAAGAGUAACGGAGGCGCUCAAAGGUCCGCUCAGCCCGGUUGGCAAUCGGGUGUCGAGUGUAAUCGCACAAGCGGGCUUGACUGCGAGGACGACGGUCCGAGCAGGGACGAAAGUCGGAGAUAGUGAUCCGGUGCCGGCGCACGGGCGCGGCAUCGCUCAACGGAUAAAAGGUACCCCGGGGAUAACAGGCUGAUCAUUCCCAAGAGUCCAUAUCGACGGGAUGGUUUGGCACCUCGAUGUCGGCUCGUCGCAUCCUGGGGCUGGAGCAGGUCCCAAGGGUUCGGCUGUUCGCCGAUUAAA
This 2094-nucleotide ribosomal RNA is filed under the name human gut metagenome. RNAcentral's name for it is "bacterial LSU rRNA". It matches the Rfam family "Bacterial large subunit ribosomal RNA", at positions 624 to 2592 of the family's 2925-position model. The record is from RNAcentral.